RNAcentral lists this ribosomal RNA (775 nucleotides) under uncultured Neocallimastigales. Its description in RNAcentral is "partial large subunit ribosomal RNA". It matches the Rfam family "Eukaryotic large subunit ribosomal RNA", at positions 23 to 620 of the family's 3401-position model. The record is from RNAcentral. Lineage: Eukaryota; Fungi; Neocallimastigomycota; Neocallimastigomycetes; Neocallimastigales.
AGAGAGAGACAUGCGCGCAUAUCAAUAAGCGGAGGAAAAGAAACUAACAAGGAUUCCCUUAGUAACGGCGAGUGAAGCGGGAAGAGCUCAAAUUUGAAAUCUUCAAGGUUUUACCUUGACGAAUUGUAGUUUAAAGAAGUGUUUUCUGUUGAAGUUUUGGUAAAAGUUCUUUGGAAUAGGACAUCAUAGAGGGUGAGAAUCCCGUAUUUGACCAUUAUUUUCAGCUUUGUGAUACACUUUCAAAGAGUCGGAUUGUUUGGGAAUGCAGUCCAAAAUGGGUGGUAAAUUUCAUCUAAAGCUAAAUAUUGGCGAGAGACCGAUAGCGAACAAGUACCGUGAGGGAAAGAUGAAAAGAACUUUGAAAAGAGAGUUAAACAGUACGUGAAAUUGUCAAAAGGGAAGCGUUUGACACCAGUGUUGUUUUCUCGAAAAUCAAUUAAAAAUGGCUCGAUUUUGUAUUGCUUGAGACCUUAAAAGCUCACUGUACAUUUUUCGUGUCUUUUUUAAUGCACUUUUCGUUUAACAAGUCAACAUCAGUUUCUUUUGUUGUAAAAGGGUCAUUGGAAGGUGGCUUUCUUUUCGGAGAAAGUGUUUAUAGCCUUUGGCCUCUGCAAUCGGAGAGACUGAGGUCUGCAGCGUAGACUCUUCGGGGUUAGAUACAUUUGUGCUAAGUUAUAGCUUUUUAUAGACAACUUGUUGACUAUAAUUAGUCUUGUAGCUUACUCGCUUAUGCUAUUUUACCUACGCUUAGGAUGUUGAAGAUGUAGCACAUCAU